UAGGGUUCCUUAGCCACAGCAUUCUCAGCGCGACAGCCAGUGAGGCAUCAAGGUUAGCAACCGUUGCCCCCGCCCCCAAUUGUUUCACCAGUUUGCUAGGGUUCCUUGAAUGAGCAGCCACCACAUCCUCGUGACAGCUGGUGAGAGCGGCCGCGGCGGAAGGUUCAAUAAGGCGGAGGUGGAGUGGUGGGUGCUGGCGUCGGAACGAGCUGCGACUGGGUGUCAGCGGCGGGCUCUCUCCGUCGCCGCCUUCGGCAGCACAAAGUCCCGGAUCUACGGUGGGGCCCUCAUCAGUGAGUACCACUAUCUUCCUUAUCUUAUUAAUCGCAGUUUGGAGCGUAGAUUAGCUAGCUAUCAAUCCCUGCCGUGUGCUUUACACUUAUGUUUGCUUUUUCCCUGGCUGGUAACCUCGCUACCAUGGACCAUUGCAUUAGUUUCGUGAGUAAUUCUCAUGGCUGGCAAUUAAUGAACUGGUGUUGGCGGGGCAUUCAGUUGAAUUUACUUAGAAACCGUACCAUUCACUUUUGAGGCAUAUGGCUGAAUUUACUUGAAAUUAUAUCAUCCAGCCUGAGGUUUAUAUGAAUUUGAGAACGACGACACACAUCAUCAGACAUUCCUCCUUUGUUACCUUAGUUGUUUUUUUUCUAAUUUACACAACUGAAUGCUGCAUGUUUGAUUAAGGGCCUAUUUGAAAGCGCAUGGUUUUUUUCUUUAUUUUUUAGAAGAGAAACUUACAUUAAUAUUUCUAUAUAUUAAGUGUGGGAACAAAGAUAGUCCCUCGCUAUAUACAUGUCAGUACUUUUAAUGUCAGUCGCACGAUCUGGGGUUUUUCUUCACUGCGAGGGAUUACACAACUACUGUCUCCCUUUCCUCUCUAUCAACUGACUAUUUCCUUGCUCUAAUGAUCAUCAUAUUCACUCCCAAUGAAAAAAGAAUCUCAGUGGAAGAUAGGUAAAUAUUUCAACCUUAUUUCUAGAAUUACAACUCUUUCUUUACAUAGUCUUUUCUUACUCGAAAUUGCAUUAAUGAUCUGGGGUUCCAUUUUUCUUUGUGCCAGUAGAACUACCAUCUGGGGUUGAUUGUAUUCUGUCAGGUAAAGUAGCAACCAGAUGUGCAUUCGAUUUCCUUUUGUGUUUCCCAACUGAACUAUGCGAUUUGUGUGUGCUAACAAUAUAUUUUAUUUCCCACUCUCAUAGCUUCCUCCAUGUCAUCUCCUUUUGGUCUGUUCAAUCGAGUAAAAUUAAAUGCCUUUGGUUAUGUUGAAAUGAACAAGCUCAUAUGCUUUGACCAUGCUAAGUGUUCCUGAUAUAAUAUCUUAUUGAUGUCGGCUAACCACUCCAUUAUGCUGUCCUGCUGUCCUUCACACACUAAAAAAGGGGGAAAUAUUUUCUUCCUAAUUGGUGCCUUUGUCACUAGCUGCCGAGGUGGAAUGCCUGUUUUAGAGUUUAUUUAGGUUCAGAUUGCCAAUCCUGUUUUAGUAUCUUUAGUGCAUUAUAUACAUCAACUUUCAGUUCUGAAAAUGUCUAUUUGUUCAUCCCUUAAUGGUGUACCUUGCCUUGGCGAGACCUAAAACAGUUGGAAUGCUUACGUUAUUGAUUCUAUUUCAAUAUCCUUAAUGCAUUAUAUGCAUAUGAACUCGCAUAUUUGAUAUUGUAUUUUAAAUGACUAUUUGUGCUACAUUUGAAGGACAUCUUUAGGACCACAGUGACGGUUCAAAUACCCAUAGAUUCAGAUGAAACAGGACAUCUUUACGACUGCAGUGACGCUUCAGAUAUCCAAAGAUUCAGAUAAAAUAGGCGAGGUUAUACGGUUUCUUUAUUACUUUAUUUUUUAAAAAAAAGAAUGUCACCUACAUCAGCUUGGUUAGUAUUCCCUCAAAUUGUUGUUGAUCCAAUUUAUGACCAUUAAGAAAAAACACGAGCAUAGUCAUUACAAUAUUUUCACUCUUCAAAGCCAUUGUUUUUAAGGGCAUAUGUAGUCAUAGUGCUCUCCUUCUGUUUCCUGUCACUUGAUGACCUGUUUAACAAAGCUCAAUCCAUAAUGAAAAGGAUACUCUGCAUUCUCCUCAUCUCUAAGUCGGUGAUCCAUAUUUUUAUAAACAUUGUCUUGGAAAGCUGGAAGGUGCUAUACAUUAUCCAUGUGUUAGGUGGGCAUGUCAUCUUACACCAAUGAGAAGGUAAACAAUCCGAUCAUAUUUAACUGUUUCUUUCCACGCAUUGUACAUUUACAUAUCUUCCCUACUUACAUGGUGAAGCUAUCUAUAACUUUAUUUCGACCAUAUUUAACUGUUUCUUUCUACGCAUUGUACAUUUACAUUUCUUCCCUACUUACAUGGUGAAGCUAUCUAUAACUUUAUUUCGACAACGUAAGCUUCUCAUAACUCAUCUCACCUGCUAAACUAUUGAUAACUUUAUUUAGGCAAAUUAGCAGCUUCUACGUAAUUGAACUAUGUGAUGAACCUGUCUACAAUCAGCCUGUAGUGUGUGCAUCAUAUACCAUGAAGCGUUAUAGGACCCUUAUUUACUUAAGCAUUCUGGGAACAACAGAACAAUCUCUGAGCUAUACCUGCUUGUUGAUUCUAUUAACCCCUAACAUUUUGUAUCUGUUGAAUACAACUAAUAAUUGUAUUUCUUUUUUUCUCUGCUAUAGGAACCUCUUCGUGUUGCACUAUAUUCUAAUCUUCGGAAUCUCAUUCAGAACCUUAUGAGCGGCAGUGAAACUAUCGAGCAACUUAUUCACACGCUAAUCAAUGAUAACUUGGAUCUUGGUUGUGCCAUCAUUGAGGUUGUGGCAACACGUCAGGUAGCUUCUUGACAAUUCUAAUUCUGCUGAACUAAGUACACCUUUGACUUCUCCUUAAGUAGAUUUAAAAGCGUAAGGUUUACAAUCCCAGAUUGUUUUUACAAUUCUAAUGGAGUUGUCAGUUUUCUGGACAUCUGACAAUGAUUACUCAAAGAUAAACUAUAUUGUGUUAAAGGCUAGUUGGGUACUACCAUUGUCCUGAAAUGUAAUCGAUUUGAGUUUGUCCUAAGUAACUACAUUAAGUUUGACCAAGUUCAUAGAAAAAAGUAUUAAGUAUUAGUGGCAUUGAGGAGAUCAACUAUAAAAAUUUAUUUCAUAAAUGUAUGAGUUGAAAAUGAUGUUCAUCUAUUAUUGUAAAUAUUAUUCUUCUCUAUAAAUUUGCCAAAUUUAGGAUAGUUUGACGUAGAGCAACUCAAAAACAUUAUAUUUCAGGAUGGAUCUAUUUAUUAUUAACAUCUUCUGUCUGAUCACCAUUGGAAGUAGAUCUGGCUUGGGGUAUAGUAGAUUGAAUAUAGAGGUACAUGGGGUGUACAAUAUAUAGGCAAGGAUCAUCAAGUUUGACGUCGGCAACGUGGUCAUGGUGACUGGCGGGAGGAACACCGAGCGUGUAGGAGUCAUCAAGAACAGGGAGAAGCACAAGGGCAGCUUUGAGACCAUCCACGUGCUGCUUGGAGCUUUUUGCUAUGUCUAGUUUUCUCCU
Long non-coding RNA from Zea mays, 3502 nucleotides. RefSeq lists it as uncharacterized. The record is from RefSeq and is a predicted model, not a curated record. The transcript has 2 exons. NCBI's taxonomy places the organism in Eukaryota, Viridiplantae, Streptophyta, Magnoliopsida, Poales, Poaceae.